This 2517-nucleotide long non-coding RNA is filed under the name Homo sapiens (human). RNAcentral's name for it is "novel transcript". Lineage: Eukaryota; Metazoa; Chordata; Mammalia; Primates; Hominidae. The record is from RNAcentral.
UUACCUUGGGCAGUAUGGCCAUUUUCAUGAUAUUGAUUCUUCCUACCCAUGAGCAUGGAAUGUUCUUCCAUUUGUUUGUAUACUCUUUUAUUUCGUUGAGCAGUGGUUUGUAGUUCUCCUUGAAGAGGCCCUUCACGUCCCUUGUAAGUUGGAAUCCUAGGUAUUUUAUUCUCUUUGAAGCAAUUGUGAAUGGGAGUUCACUCAUGAUUUGGCUCUCAGUUUGUGUUAUUGGUGUAUAAGAAUGCUUGUGAUUUUUGUGCAUUGAUUUUGUAUCCUGAGACUUUGCUAAAGUUGCUGAAGGAGAUUUUGGGCUGAGACAAUGGGGUUUUCUAGAUAUACAAUCAUGUCAUCUGCAAACAGGGACAAUUUGAUUUCCUUUUAUCCUAAUUGAAUACCCUAAGUAUUUAGGAAUCUUCUCCAUUUCUUUUUAUCAGGUCAAAGUACAUAAGUACAUAUUUUAGGGUCUUCUGUUCUUGAGGGUUUUUUUUUUGUGUUUUUUGUUUUUUCUUUUCCUAUUGGAGGUUUGACACCUAUAUUUUUCUCUGACAUUUUGGAAAUUUGCUUCCCAAAGUCAAAAACAUAAUGCCUAACUUUUCCCGAUUUGGCCAACAUCAACUUUAAGAUUCUGUGGUUAUCUUUUUACCAAGAGAUUUGUCAGUUUUACUGCCCCAGUCAUUUCCUUUUUACUGAUUAGAAUUAGGCCUUUGUGUAGCUGUUCACCUAAUUACUUCCUCUACCUUGUGAAAAAGAGCAGGGACGCUAACAUUUGCUGGGUACCUACUACAUGCCAAAAGUACUUAAUCGUAUGCAGUAAUGUCAUUUAAUUUUCAAAACAACUCUCCAAAGGAAGUGUCACUCUCCUUGUUUGAUUUCUUGCUUCCCAAAUGGAAGGUCCUUUGUAUUAAUAGUAUCUGUCAAAUUUCAUACAAUACUUAAAUAUGUUCUUGAUACGUACUUCAAUAUAACCAACAGAAUGAGGCAGUAUUCGAUAAAGUAAAAAAUAAGAUGAAUAUUUCUAGUGAUUUAUAAGUUACUUGAGGAAAUCAUGCUGUUUAUUCUUUUCCUUUUUAGGUAUUCUUUGUGAAUUUGCUAUUUGUGUGUGAAUAUAUCUGUUGCGAUAAUGAAUAACCAUAUGAAAUGGAUAAUUGUAUGAAAAUUCAUUUGUAAUUCAAUAGAUUGCCAGGGAUUUUAGGUUGGUUAUGAAGGUUUGUUUUUUUUUUUUUUUUCUUUUGGAGAGUGGGGAGAUUGGCAUACAGUUUCAAAUUGUUUAUGUGGAAGUUGGAAGUGUGACUAAGCUCGAAGAAAGGAAGAGAGGGACAAAGAAAGGGAGGAGGUACCCCUAAGUGGGAACCUACCAGGACAUUCAAAGCAAGAGCAGUAAGUUCUGAAUGUUCUGGGACAACCUGGGUGAUAUGCAUGGAUAUGGGCUGUGGAGGCUGAGCAUUUUAAUGAUAACUUAGGGAAACGAGGCAUGGCCAUGGUGUAAAACUCUCAAAUCCCAAGCCCUAAUCCAACCUUAAAAUCCGAGUCUUCUAAAGGGCUGUUUUAACCAUGAAAGGACCAUAAGAAAGGCAAUUCACAGAAAAUGAAGCCAUGUGGCCAAGAAAUAUAAGAAAAACAGUAAAAGCCCUUAAUCUCAAUAGCAAUAGAGUGGAUGCAAAUGAAUAUAAUGAGUUGCCAUGUCGUUCUUACUGGAUUGGAAAAGAAAUUAGAAUGUCUAAAUAACAUGUAUCAUCCAGGAUGUGGGGAAAUGGGAGCUCUUGUACCCUGCAGGCAGGCAUUUAAAUUGGUGCAACCGCUUUGGAUUGCUGCUUUGUAGUAUCUGGUGCAACUGAAGAUGAACAUGCCCUGUGACACAGCAACCGCACUUCUAGGUCAAUACCCUAAUUAUAUUCUUACUGUGGUUCACAAGAAGGUAUGUAAGAGGUCAUUGCCUGAGCACUGUUUAGAAUAGGGGCAAACUGGAAAUCCUCUAAAUGUCUGUCAAUGAAGGAAUAGAUAAAUUGUAAUAUGUUCAUAUAAAAUGCUGCAUAAAUAAGUGAAAUUUAUAAAUAUACUAACGAAUGAAUCUUGAAAACAGAGUUGGGAGAUAAAAGCAAGCUGUUGAAGAACAUGGUCAGUAUCCUCUCACUUAUGUAAGUUAAAAACUCCAAAGAACAUUAUCUAUAUUGGUAAUGGCAUAGACAUGUGUGGUAAAAUAUAAAAAUAUUAACUAAAAGUUCUAUACGCUUCAGGAUAUUGUUAGUAUAAUAAGGCAGGAAGUGGAUAGCAUUGGGGUGAGACAGUGGUUUGGUGGUUAUGUUUGGUUACUUUAGUUAUGUUAGUAACAUUUUUUUUUUAAAGAAGGAUCUGGAAUAAUUAUGGUAAAAUAAUAGUAUUUGCUAAGACUAGAUGAUUGGUGUACUGGAUUUCAUCCGCUAUUUUCUAAGUUUGUUAUGAACGCUUAAAAUAUAUAUGUAUGUAGUAAAAUUAAUGUAAAUUUGUACAAAUAAAAAUAAAUGGCAUGUGAUAUAUGGC